GUACACGCUGUGACUAGCAUAUCAAUAAGCGGAGGAAAAGAAACUAACAAGGAUUCCCUUAGUAACGGCGAGUGAAGCGGGAAGAGCUCAAAUUUGAAAUCUUCAAGGUUUUACCUUGACGAAUUGUAGUUUAAAGAAGUGUUUUCUGCUGAAGUUUUGGUAAAAGUUCUUUGGAAUAGGACAUCAUAGAGGGUGAGAAUCCCGUAUUUGACCAUUAUUUUCAGCUUUGUGAUACACUUUCAAAGAGUCGGAUUGUUUGGGAAUGCAGUCCAAAAUGGGUGGUAAAUUUCAUCUAAAGCUAAAUAUUGGCGAGAGACCGAUAGCGAACAAGUACCGUGAGGGAAAGAUGAAAAGAACUUUGAAAAGAGAGUUAAACAGUACGUGAAAUUGUCAAAAGGGAAGCGUUUGACACCAGUGUUGUUUUCUCGAAAAUCAAUUAAAAAUGGCUCGAUUUUGUAUUGCUUGAGACCUUAAAAGCUCACUGUACAUUUUUCGUGUCUUUUUUAAUGCACUUUUCGUUUAACAAGUCAACAUCAGUUUCUUUUGUUGUAAAAGGGUCAUUGGAAGGUGGCUUUCUUUUCGGAGAAAGUGUUUAUAGCCUUUGGCCUCUGCAAUCGAAGAGACUGAGGUCUGCAGCGUAGACUCUUCGGGGUUAGAUACAUUUGUGCUAAGUUAUAGCUUUUUAUAGACAACUUGUUGACUAUAAUUAGUCUUGUAGCUUACUCGCUUAUGCUAUUUUACCUACGCUUAGGAUGUUGAUAUGCAUGACUGAUAU
Molecule: ribosomal RNA, 775 nt
Filed under: uncultured Neocallimastigales
Lineage: Eukaryota; Fungi; Neocallimastigomycota; Neocallimastigomycetes; Neocallimastigales
Description: partial large subunit ribosomal RNA
Rfam family: Eukaryotic large subunit ribosomal RNA
Source: RNAcentral